This 87-nucleotide transfer RNA is filed under the name Dreissena polymorpha. It matches the Rfam family "tRNA". From Rfam's summary of the family: Transfer RNA (tRNA) molecules are approximately 80 nucleotides in length. The record is from Rfam by way of RNAcentral. Lineage: Eukaryota; Metazoa; Mollusca; Bivalvia; Myida; Dreissenidae.
GUUGUCGUGGCCGAGUGGUUUAGGCGAUAGAUUCAACUUUCAUAUUUUUGGGAUCUUCCCGCGCAAGUUCGAAUCCUGCCGACAACG